This 869-nucleotide ribosomal RNA is filed under the name Salmonella enterica subsp. enterica serovar Infantis. Its description in RNAcentral is "partial 23S ribosomal RNA". It matches the Rfam family "Bacterial large subunit ribosomal RNA", at positions 2062 to 2925 of the family's 2925-position model. The record is from RNAcentral. Lineage: Bacteria; Pseudomonadati; Pseudomonadota; Gammaproteobacteria; Enterobacterales; Enterobacteriaceae.
CAGUGUACCCGCGGCAAGACGGAAAGACCCCGUGAACCUUUACUAUAGCUUGACACUGAACAUUGAGCCUUGAUGUGUAGGAUAGGUGGGAGGCUUUGAAGCGUGGACGCCAGUCUGCGUGGAGCCGACCUUGAAAUACCACCCUUUAAUGUUUGAUGUUCUAACGUGGAUCCGUAAUCCGGGUUGCGGACAGUGUCUGGUGGGUAGUUUGACUGGGGCGGUCUCCUCCUAAAGAGUAACGGAGGAGCACGAAGGUUGGCUAAUCCUGGUCGGACAUCAGGAGGUUAGUGCAAUGGCAUAAGCCAGCUUGACUGCGAGCGUGACGGCGCGAGCAGGUGCGAAAGCAGGUCAUAGUGAUCCGGUGGUUCUGAAUGGAAGGGCCAUCGCUCAACGGAUAAAAGGUACUCCGGGGAUAACAGGCUGAUACCGCCCAAGAGUUCAUAUCGACGGCGGUGUUUGGCACCUCGAUGUCGGCUCAUCACAUCCUGGGGCUGAAGUAGGUCCCAAGGGUAUGGCUGUUCGCCAUUUAAAGUGGUACGCGAGCUGGGUUUAGAACGUCGUGAGACAGUUCGGUCCCUAUCUGCCGUGGGCGCUGGAGAACUGAGGGGGGCUGCUCCUAGUACGAGAGGACCGGAGUGGACGCAUCACUGGUGUUCGGGUUGUCAUGCCAAUGGCACUGCCCGGUAGCUAAAUGCGGAAGAGAUAAGUGCUGAAAGCAUCUAAGCACGAAACUUGCCCCGAGAUGAGUUCUCCCUGAGACUUAGAGUCUCCUGAAGGAACGUUGAAGACGACGACGUUGAUAGGCCGGGUGUGUAAGCGCAGCGAUGCGUUGAGCUAACCGGUACUAAUGAACCGUGAGGCUUAACCUU